CAGCCGCCGCGGGAAUACCGAGGCCUCAAGCGUUGUUCGGAUUCAUUGGGCGUAAAGGGUGCGUAGGCGGUUCCGUAAGUCGGAUGUGAAAUCUUGGGGCUCAACCUCAAAACUGCAUUCGAUACUGCGGGGCUAGAGGACUGGAGAGGAGAGUGGAAUUCACGGUGUAGCAGUGAAAUGCGUAGACAUCGUGAGGAGGACCAGCGGCGAAGGCGGCUCUCUGGACAGUUCCUGACGCUGAUGCACGAAGGCCAGGGGAGCAAACGGGAUUAGAUACCCCAGUAGUCCCUGUCUCUUAUAA
This 301-nucleotide ribosomal RNA is filed under the name uncultured bacterium. RNAcentral describes it as "partial 16S ribosomal RNA". It matches the Rfam family "Bacterial small subunit ribosomal RNA", at positions 509 to 809 of the family's 1533-position model. The record is from RNAcentral.